Molecule: long non-coding RNA, 403 nt
Organism: Triticum dicoccoides
Lineage: Eukaryota; Viridiplantae; Streptophyta; Magnoliopsida; Poales; Poaceae
Exons: 3
Source: RefSeq, a predicted model, not a curated record
CAAAAAAGCCUACUUUAAAGUUUUGUAAAUCCAUUAUUUCCUUUGAGUUUGCCGUGGAGUGCUUACAAUUCUCAAAGGCGUCAACAAGUCCCGGAGGAGAUUGACAAGGAAUUCUUGUUGUAAAGAGCGAAGGCAUGGUUUGGUUUGCAUGACAUUAUCUUCAAUUGGCUGGAGAUAGAUAAAUGUUGAUACUUGAUUUUCUCACCUGGCAUCUUAUCACUUCUGUGAAAGACACUUCAUUUUCUCAUAGUAAUAGUUCUUUAUUAUUGUUGAUACAUAAAUGGAUCUUUAUUGAAUGGUACUUGUAUGUGUGUAUGGAGAAUGGUGAUAAACCUUUUAAAUAAUCUAUUAUCCAAAAAGGUGAUUCUAAUUUCUGAUUAGAUUAUACUAUAACAAUAUGAUU